AUUGAACGCUGGCGGCAGGCUUAACACAUGCAAGUCGAGCGGGGUGAUGUAGCUUGCUACAUUACCUAGCGGCGGACGGGUGAGUAAUGCUUAGGAAUCUGCCUAUUAGUGGGGGACAACAUUCCGAAAGGAAUGCUAAUACCGCAUACGUCCUACGGGAGAAAGCAGGGGAUCUUCGGACCUUGCGCUAAUAGACGAGCCUAAGUCAGAUUAGCUAGUUGGUGGGGUAAAGGCCUACCAAGGCGACGAUCUGUAGCGGGUCUGAGAGGAUGAUCCGCCACACUGGGACUGAGACACGGCCCAGACUCCUACGGGAGGCAGCAGUGGGGAAUAUUGGACAAUGGGCGAAAGCCUGAUCCAGCCAUGCCGCGUGUGUGAAGAAGGCCUUUUGGUUGUAAAGCACUUUAAGCGAGGAGGAGGCUACUUGGAUUAAUACUCUAGGAUAGUGGACGUUACUCGCAGAAUAAGCACCGGCUAACUCUGUGCCAGCAGCCGCAGUAA
RNAcentral lists this ribosomal RNA (501 nucleotides) under uncultured bacterium. Its description in RNAcentral is "partial 16S ribosomal RNA". It matches the Rfam family "Bacterial small subunit ribosomal RNA", at positions 30 to 523 of the family's 1533-position model. The record is from RNAcentral.